GACGAACGCUGGCGGCGUGCUUAACACAUGCAAGUCGAACGGAAAGGCCCUGCUUUUGUUGGGUUCUCGAGUGGCGAACGGGUGAGUAACACGUGAGUAACCUGCCUUUGACUUUGGGAUAACUUCAGGAAACUGGGGCUAAUACCGGAUAGGAGCUCCUGCUGCAUGGUGGGGGUUGGAAAGUUUCGGCGGUUGGGGAUGGACUCGCGGCUUAUUAGCUUGUUGGUGGGGUAGUGGCUUACCAAGGCUUUGACGGGUAGCCGGCCUGAGAGGGUGACCGGCCACAUUAGGACUGAGAUACGGCCCAGACUCCUACGGGAGGCAGCAGUGGGGAAUAUUGCACAAUGGGCGGAAGCCUGAUGCAGCAACGCCGCGUGCGGGAUGACGGCCUUCGGGUUGUAAACCGCUUUCGCCUGUGACGAAGCGUGAGUGACGGUAAUGGGUAAAGAAGCACCGGCUAACUACGUG
This 468-nucleotide ribosomal RNA is filed under the name uncultured bacterium. Its description in RNAcentral is "partial 16S ribosomal RNA". It matches the Rfam family "Bacterial small subunit ribosomal RNA", at positions 28 to 507 of the family's 1533-position model. The record is from RNAcentral.